UCUUUGCUGACGAGUGGCGGACGGGUGAGUAAUGUCUGGGAAACUGCCUGAUGGAGGGGGAUAACUACUGGAAACGGUAGCUAAUACCGCAUAACGUCGCAAGACCAAAGAGGGGGACCUUCGGGCCUCUUGCCAUCGGAUGUGCCCAGAUGGGAUUAGCUAGUAGGUGGGGUAACGGCUCACCUAGGCGACGAUCCCUAGCUGGUCUGAGAGGAUGACCAGCCACACUGGAACUGAGACACGGUCCAGACUCCUACGGGAGGCAGCAGUGGGGAAUAUUGCACAAUGGGCGCAAGCCUGAUGCAGCCAUGCCGCGUGUAUGAAGAAGGCCUUCGGGUUGUAAAGUACUUUCAGCGGGGAGGAAGGGAGUAAAGUUAAUACCUUUGCUCAUUGACGUUACCCGCAGAAGAAGCACCGGCUAACUCCGUGCCAGCAGCCGCGGUAAUACGGAGGGUGCAAGCGUCAAUCGGAAUUACUGGGCGUAAAGCGCACGCAGGCGGUUUGUUAAGUCAGAUGUGAAAUCCCCGGGCUCAACCUGGGAACUGCAUCUGAUACUGGCAAGCUUGAGUCUCGUAGAGGGGGGUAGAAUUCCAGGUGUAGCGGUGAAAUGCGUAGAGAUCUGGAGGAAUACCGGUGGCGAAGGCGGCCCCCUGGACGAAGACUGACGCUCAGGUGCGAAAGCGUGGGGAGCGAACAGGAUUAGAUACCCUGGUAGUCCACGCCGUAAACGAUGUCGACUUGGAGGUUGUGCCCUUGAGGCGUGGCUUCCGGAGCUAACGCGUUAAGUCGACCGCCUGGGGAGUACGGCCGCAAGGUUAAAACUCAAAUGAAUUGACGGGGGCCCGCACAAGCGGUGGAGCAUGUGGUUUAAUUCGAUGCAACGCGAAGAACCUUACCUGGUCUUGACAUCCACGGAAGUUUUCAGAGAUGAGAAUGUGCCUUCGGGAACCGUGAGACAGGUGCUGCAUGGCUGUCGUCAGCUCGUGUUGUGAAAUGUUGGGUUAAGUCCCGCAACGAGCGCAACCCUUAUCCUUUGUUGCCAGCGGUCCGGCCGGGAACUCAAAGGAGACUGCCAGUGAUAAACUGGAGGAAGGUGGGGAUGACGUCAAGUCAUCAUGGCCCUUACGGCCAGGGCUACACACGUGCUACAAUGGCGCAUACAAAGAGAAGCGACCUCGCGAGAGCAAGCGGACCUCAUAAAGUGCGUCGUAGUCCGGAUUGGAGUCUGCAACACGACUCCAUGAAGUCGGAAUCGCUAGUAAUCGUGGAUCAGAAUGCCACGGUGAAUACGUUCCCGGGCCUUGUACACACCGCCCGUCACACCAUGGGAGUGGGUUGCAAAAGAAGUAGGUAGCUUAACCUUCGGGAGGGCGCUUACCACUUUGUGAUUCAUGACUGGGGUGAAGUCGUAACAAGGUAACCGUAGGGGAACCUGCGGUUG
This 1441-nucleotide ribosomal RNA is filed under the name metagenome. Its description in RNAcentral is "bacterial SSU rRNA". It matches the Rfam family "Bacterial small subunit ribosomal RNA". The record is from RNAcentral.